This 467-nucleotide ribosomal RNA is filed under the name uncultured bacterium. RNAcentral describes it as "partial 16S ribosomal RNA". It matches the Rfam family "Bacterial small subunit ribosomal RNA", at positions 28 to 507 of the family's 1533-position model. The record is from RNAcentral.
GAUGAACGCUGGCGGCGUGCUUAACACAUGCAAGUCGAACGGAAAGGCUCCUGCUUGCAGGGGUACUCGAGUGGCGAACGGGUGAGUAACACGUGGGUGAUCUGCCCUGCACUUCGGGAUAAGCCUGGGAAACUGGGUCUAAUACCGGAUAGGACCACAUUUUGGAUGGUGUGGUGGAAAGUUUUUCGGUGUGGGAUGAGCUCGCGGCCUAUCAGCUUGUUGGUGGGGUAAUGGCCUACCAAGGCGUCGACGGGUAGCCGGCCUGAGAGGGUGUACGGCCACAUUGGGACUGAGAUACGGCCCAGACUCCUACGGGAGGCAGCAGUGGGGAAUAUUGCACAAUGGGCGCAAGCCUGAUGCAGCGACGCCGCGUGGGGGAUGACGGCCUUCGGGUUGUAAACUCCUUUCGCUAGGGACGAAGCGUUUUUGUGACGGUACCUGGAGAAGAAGCACCGGCCAACUACGUG